RNAcentral lists this non-coding RNA (28 nucleotides) under Homo sapiens (human). Lineage: Eukaryota; Metazoa; Chordata; Mammalia; Primates; Hominidae. The record is from RNAcentral.
UGCUCUAAUUAAGGGAACGUUGUGAACA